ACGUUUCAUGACACGGUCAGGAAUAAUACUGUGUACAGUUCAAGCUUUUAAGGGCAGGAAGAUUUCUUAUGUUUAUACAACGAGCUCCUUCAUCAGAUCCAACAACUCAGGAAAGAUCAGUCCAGGACAAAGGGUCACAGAAAACUGUUCCGGCAUCUUACCCUUCCAACCUCACAUGUUGAGAGAACACACUGAAGUUAAUGUCAGCCCGCCCAAGUUGAGAGAUAGUACUCAAAUGUUGCCAGCUACGAUCAAGCCCCCUCUGUCUAAACGUUUGCACCUUUCUGGACAAAGAAGUCUAAUAACUGGAGAGAUAAGACAAGAGAAAACAUUGAGCAGUAACUUUUCCACAGGCCAGGUUUCCCCAGAGGCAAAAGACAAGGGUGCUGUAUUUUCUCAACCCUUGUGAUAAGCGCUCCUGGAAGGAAAGAGAGAGAAGGCUGAAUAGCUGGAAAAACCUCCACAACAUGGUAGAGGUGCAUGUAGGUAACAAUUGUUUGGGAGAGUUCCCUCAAGGACUCUGUUGCUAGGUGGCUACAAAAUACAAACAAACAAGAUCGACUACAGAGGAACCGAGUCUCAACACGACUUCUGGGACAAGGAAAUCAAUAAAAUGCCAGCCAGUGAGGUGUUCUGAGAGCCAAGGUAACAGAGAGAUAUCAUACUACACAACUGCCUUCCAGUAUCAAGGUCUUUGGAAAGGAUUCUACAAGAGUUUGGGUAUGACAUCUAAAAUAAAAAUAAAAACCACCUUACUGAUCCAGGGAAAUUUUACAUCAGCAUAUCAAAUUAUAUCCAAAUAGCUAGUAUGAAAAUCGCUACCCAGAUUUCAUAGCAUAAUCAAACAAUAACAAGAAGAGGGAAAAGUCCUUCAAAAUAUGACUGAGGACUUCACUAGCAUUAGCAUGAAGUUCAGCCUGAGCUGGAAGACCAUUAAGAGUCUGUUGAAAUUGUCUGUGUGAUGAAUUCCAAAGGACGGAGCAGAAGAGACAAAGUCACAUGGAAGGCAAGAAGUAUCACUCCUAGAAACUGAAAAAGAGUGAACAUGGGAGACAAUCAGAGACCUCACCAUGCAGCCUGUCCCCAGGGAACCUAUGUACCUCAAUCUAUGCUGUCCUGUAAGAAGGAGGAAACUCCAGGAGGAAGAGCUGCUGCUCCUUGGAGCAUUCUUUCAGACGGUUAAAGUUGCUUUAGAGAGAAAUUCAAACAGAGUCUCUGCCACUCCCCUUUCAAAUUCCUUAAUGGAACUUGAAUGAAAAUAAGGUUCACAUGAAGUUCAGAAAACUUUAAAGCACUAUUUAAUGGUAGAAGCUCAGCUGUAAGAAUUGCUUUAUUUCCUAUUCAAUUUCAUGUGCCUAUAAUUUUCUAAGAAUUGGGAAUUUAACAGGUAGUUCUUACUUAUAUUUGCCAAUUAAAGUCUGCCAAUAGGAACAAACAUCUCAAACAUUUCAAAAUAACAAAAAUAUUUCUUUGGCAUAGACACUCAAACAUGAAGAAAUACUCCAAUAUAAUUAUAAGGCUAUUUUAAACUAAUGAAAUGUCCAAGAUUUUUAAAGUUUUAAAGCCAAAAAUUUGGGACACCAAAACUUAAGAAUUCAUCGUAUUUCCAUGAAAAAAAUAUUGAGUUCCUGCAUUUGUGGAGGAACUCAAAUACAAUUUACUAAAAUUUGAUUUAGCAUUCUCUAAAGUAAAAAGAGAUGUGAGGAAACCAUCAAAAACAUUUAAAACUGCCAAGUUCUGUUGUGUUAAAAUAUGAUUUAAAACAUUUAGGGGGGAAAUUAAAGUUGUGUAAGAUGUGGGAGGCAUGUUGCAAAAUAUGGGAAAAGGUUAGCCAGGAAACUCCAAAUAAAACAAUAUGUACAGUGCAGACGGGCUGUGAAGCUGCACAUUUCCCUGUGUGGCCAGAUAUGCAAAUUAAUUUACUAGUUGGAGGAGGUAGGAACAAGGCUAAUAUCUAAGCUUUGUUGCUAAGAUAACCAAAAGUCAUAGGGCAGUGCUUCCCAAUCUUUAGAAGUUGAACAGAGCCUUUCACCCGGGCUGCCUAAGACCAUCAGAAA
Molecule: small RNA, 2057 nt
Filed under: Rattus norvegicus (Norway rat)
Lineage: Eukaryota; Metazoa; Chordata; Mammalia; Rodentia; Muridae
Description: uncharacterized LOC102553927
Source: RNAcentral